GGCACAUUUCCUUUCUGUUGGCAUUCCCUUUUAUAUAUAUAUAUAUAUAUAUAUAUAGGCUGUUUUGGAUUAACUGCUUUAUUCCUUUAUUUCACAGCGCCAAGGCAGAUUUCCAUUUUUUAAUGACUGUGAUUCCAGGCUCUGGUUGAAGGCAUAUUGGUGCAAGAGAAGAGGCCAUAUUGAGGAGGCUCAUAACAGAGUGUGGACUGGUGAUUGGUCAGAAUGAUAGAUAGGCAUACAUCUUACUCAGAGGAAGACACUGGCACAUUUUUUUCUGUUGGCCUUUUUCUUUAGCCAAAUUGGUUGUUGUGGAUUGACUACUUUAUUCCUUUAUUUCACAGUGCUGAGGCAGGUUUCCAUUUUUUUAUGACUGUGAUUCCAGGCGUAUUGGUGCAAGAGGAUAAGGCUAAACAGAGGAGGGCCAUACUACAGACUGUAGGCUGGUGAUUGGUCAGAAGAUAAAUAGAAAUACUUCUCACUGAGGGGAAGAAAAAGGCACAUUCCUUUCCUGUUGGUCUUUUUUUUUUUUGCUAAAUAGGUUGUUGUUUCCUUUAUUUCACAGGGUUAAGGCAGAUUUCCAUUUUCUAAUGACCAUUAUUCCAGGUAUGAGGCUAGCUUGCCGACAUGGGAAGUUAGUAUGUAUAGCCUAAUUUAUUUAUUUCCUUUGCCACAUAUUUCUGAAGACUCGUUACGAAACACAUCAAUAUAAGUCCUUAAAGUUCUGUAUUAUGUUUUAAAGUUGACUUAAGAUCAGAUUCCUCUGAUCAAAUAUUUCAGGAUAGAAUAUAGGGAACCAAAAUGAGAAGCAUUGGGGCAUUCCGAGAAUCGAACUCGGGACCUCUCGCACCCAAAGCGAGAAUCAUACCACUAGACCAAAUGCCCAAUUUUUUAUAUGUAUCAUGCCUGGUUCAUACAUAUGAUACAUUUUCUCUAAGGGCUCCUGUUAAUUUUCAAUGUCCUCACUUGUAGAGGACCCACUCUCUCGUUAUUGAUGUGGUUCAAUUUAUCAUUGCCUUGCUGCAAUUGGAUGCCAGAGGCUUUUAAAAUUGCAUUAACACCAGGUUGAAGCUUUCUUUCAUAAAGAGAUGCCAGAUUAUACUUAUUAAUUUAGAAUAUGGAUCCCCUGGAAGUCAAAACAUCUAUAGGUUGAGAAUUUUCCAAAUUUUAUAGUUUCUUUUAACCAGUGAACUAUCUGACUGCUAAAUAGAUAGUUUGAAAGUUGUUGUGCUCUUAGAAUAUUUUGUUUUAAACUUUUACCAGUGAAAUUACAGAACAAUUAGGCAGCUAUGCGGAAACCUAAUCACAAUAUGUCCUAAUAAACUUUUCAAGCUAAAUGUCAAAGCCUUUAUAGGUUAGUCUGGCUAGUAAAGUUGUUCGGUUAUUGUUAAACACGUAGGACUGAGUCCCACCUUCACUACUGGGCAAGGGAGUUGGGGUUGUGGGCAGGGGGGGAGCAAGCCCACAUGGUGUAGCCUGGCAGUUGGAUCAAGAAAAAGAAUAAAAUAGGGUCUUGUGCAGAUACAGAAGAUGGAAACUCACUCAGAAAGGAGAAAAAUACUUGGCCUUUCUUGUUCUCUGAUUUUUGCUUGACUUUAUAAGCUAUUUUAAGUAAAAUAUUUUAACCUGCUCUGCAAAUGUCUAUUCAUUCUGUUUAUUUGGUGCCCUUUGCUAGGCAGCUUUAAGGCAGAUUUCACUUUUUGGAUGACUAUCAGAUUAAAGGUGCAAGAAUAAACUUGUGAAAGUAGCACAAUUUAUUUAUUUUUUACUCACUGCAAAGGAAUCUUGUCAGCCAAAAAAAUGGAUCUGAAGUUUCUAAGUCUCUAUAUUAUUUUAUUUUUUAGAGUUGACUUAACAGCAGAUUCUUUGAUUAUAUAAGUCAAGUAGUGAUGUAGGGAACUAAAAAGUAACUUGGCUGGGGCAUUCCAAGAAUUAACUCGGAGGUACCUCUUGCACUCUAAGUGAGAAUCAGACCGUAAACCAAAUCCCCAAUCUUGAUAUCUAUCUUGAUUAGCAUAUAUUUGUUAGCAGUUUUCUAAGGAUUCCGUGUAACUUUCAAUGGGCUUAUACCAACUGAGCUGCCCAUAGUUUCAUCUCUCUUGCUUUUGAUGUGUUUCUGGUAUCAUUUCCUUGCUAGAGUGAUUGUAGUCUUUUGCUUUUGAUGUAAUUCUGUUAUAAUUUCCCUGCUAGAGUCAGAUGCCAGUGCCUCUUAAAAUUGCAUUUGGACCUUGGAUUGGUUAUAAGCAUAGUAAUGAAGGUUGUUUAUACUUGAUUCCAUAUUUGGGUCAACUUAAAGACGAGUUGUGUAUGAAUUUUGAGAAUUUAUUCAUAUUUUUCUUUCUUUCGUGGUGAAAUGCCUGACUAAUAGCUAGAUAACUAGUUACUCCCUGUCACAAAGCUUGCAAAACAGUGCAUAGUACUGUAAAGUGGUCUAAAGAUGAGCUUACGGGACAAAUUGCAGAAAGUUUAUCACAAAAUGCUGUGUAAUGUUUUGUUGUGGCCCCUGCAAGCCAAAUGCAAGAGAAACAACAGUGCCUCUUCCCUAGUUUUGCUUGCCUAGAAAAGGAUGCUGUUGAUUAGGUAGUUUAACCUGCUCCUCAGAUGAAUGUUCAUUCCAUGUGUGUGUGAUUCCCCUUUUCGUUUUUUGGGCAGGUUAUGGAAGAUUCAAAUGAUUCCUCAUGGCAGAUUACAGGUCAGUGGUUAGCUUGCUCAACUUGCAAACACCGCAUUUGUUAUAUACAUUUUGCAAUUCAUUGCUGACGCACUUGUCAGAAAACAAAUCAAAGAUGAAGUCAAUAAAUUUCUAUAUUACACUUCUAAAGUUGACUUAUGGCUAGACCUUUUUUUGUUAUCAAUAUUUCAAAUUGUAAGAUGAGCUAAAAAAGAAACAGGGGGUUGGGGGCAUUCCGAGAAUCGAACUCGGGACCUCUCGCACCCAAAGCGAGAAUCAUACCACUAGACCAAAUGCCCUAGCAUGUAACAUUUGAUUUACUUUGAAUACUCCAGUUUUGUUAUUCCAUAAAGAAAUUUUGUGAAUUUUUUUUCUUUGCCAUGUAAAACAAUGCUAGGGUUGGUAGAUUUGAAUAUCCAUGUUUUCAGGCCGUUUUGUUUUCUUGUUGAGACAUUGGUAAUACAAACCAUGCAUGUAAUUACAAAUUUGGAAUGAUC
This is a non-coding RNA of Theobroma umbraticum, 3165 nucleotides long. NCBI's taxonomy places the organism in Eukaryota, Viridiplantae, Streptophyta, Magnoliopsida, Malvales, Malvaceae. The record is from RefSeq and is a predicted model, not a curated record.